RNAcentral lists this ribosomal RNA (618 nucleotides) under uncultured bacterium. RNAcentral describes it as "bacterial SSU rRNA". It matches the Rfam family "Bacterial small subunit ribosomal RNA", at positions 169 to 803 of the family's 1533-position model. The record is from RNAcentral.
CCGCAUAAGCCCACGGGUCGGCAUCGACCAGAGGGAAAAGGAGCAAUCCGCUUUGAGAUGGCCUCGCGUCCGAUUAGCUAGUUGGUGAGGUAACGGCCCACCAAGGCAACGAUCGGUAGCCGGACUGAGAGGUUGAACGGCCACAUUGGGACUGAGACACGGCCCAGACUCCUACGGGAGGCAGCAGUGGGGAAUAUUGCACAAUGGGGGAAACCCUGAUGCAGCGACGCCGCGUGGAGGAAGAAGGUCUUCGGAUUGUAAACUCCUGUUGUUGAGGAAGAUAAUGACGGUACUCAACAAGGAAGUGACGGCUAACUACGUGCCAGCAGCCGCGGUAAAACGUAGGUCACAAGCGUUGUCCGGAAUUACUGGGUGUAAAGGGAGCGCAGGCGGGAAGACAAGUUGGAAGUGAAAUCUAUGGGCUCAACCCAUAAACUGCUUUCAAAACUGUUUUUCUUGAGUAGUGCAGAGGUAGGCGGAAUUCCCGGUGUAGCGGUGGAAUGCGUAGAUAUCGGGAGGAACACCAGUGGCGAAGGCGGCCUACUGGGCACCAACUGACGCUGAGGCUCGAAAGUGUGGGUAGCAAACAGGAUUAGAUACCCUGGUAGUCCACACCGU